RNAcentral lists this transfer RNA (73 nucleotides) under bacterium. RNAcentral's name for it is "tRNA-Tyr". It matches the Rfam family "tRNA". Rfam says of the family: Transfer RNA (tRNA) molecules are approximately 80 nucleotides in length. The record is from RNAcentral.
CCGGAUAUAGCUCAGUUGGUAGAGCGGUCGACUGUAGAUCGAUUGGUCACCUGUUCAAAUCAGGUUGUCCGGA